UACGGGGGGGAGCAAGCGUUGUUCGGAUUUACUGGGCGUAAAGGGCGCGUAGGCGGCGUGACAAGUCACUUGUGAAAUCUCCGGGCUUAACUCAGAACGGUCAAGUGAUACUGUCGUGCUAGAGUACAGAAGGGGCAACUGGAAUUCUCGGUGUAGCGGUGAAAUGCGUAGAUAUCGAGAGGAACACCUGCGGCGAAGGCGGGUUGCUGGGCUGAUACUGACGCUGAGGCGCGAAAGCUAGGGGGAGCGAACGGG
RNAcentral lists this ribosomal RNA (255 nucleotides) under uncultured bacterium. RNAcentral's name for it is "partial 16S ribosomal RNA". It matches the Rfam family "Bacterial small subunit ribosomal RNA", at positions 524 to 776 of the family's 1533-position model. The record is from RNAcentral.